GACAGAGGUGCCAAGCGUUAGGCGGAAUCACUGGGCUUAAAGCGUGUGUAGGCGGGGCGUUAAGUACCUUGUGAAAUCCCCCGGCUCAACCGGGGAACGGCUGGGUAUACUGGCGAUCUUGAGCCACCUAGGGGCAGUCGGAACAAGUGGUGGAGCGGUGAAAUGCGUAGAUAUCACUUGGAACGCCAAUGGUGAAAACAGACUGCUGGGGGUGUGCUGACGCUGAGACACGAAAGCCAGGGGAGCAAACGGG
Molecule: ribosomal RNA, 253 nt
Filed under: uncultured bacterium
Lineage: Bacteria
Description: partial 16S ribosomal RNA
Rfam family: Bacterial small subunit ribosomal RNA
Source: RNAcentral